AGCGGAGUUAAUGAUUACACUUGCCAUUACUAACUCUGUCUUAAUAUGUUUAUAUGUAUGUACACUGAAUGAAUGUAUUAUAUGUCAUCUGUUUCAAUAUCGUGUUAUUUACUUUAUUAUUUACUUUAUUAUUUAAUUAUUAUUCAUUUUAUAUAUUAUUUACUUUAAUAUUUAAUUAUUAUUAUUCAUUUUAUAUAUUAUUUACUUUAAUAUUUAAUUAUUAUUAUUCAUUUUAUAUAUUAUUUACUCUGAUAUCUGAUUAUAAUGGAGGUUGCCAUGGAGACCGUUGUGUGUACGUAGCAUUAGCGCCCUCUACUGCGCCCCUGCAGACUUGACAGGUGCACCCCGCAUCUCGUCAGCAGUCUGCAUGUGCCGUCUCCGUGCAUCUUUGAGAAGCUUUGCCGCUGUGAGACUGACUGUGGGAGAUCUAACAUCAUCUCUGUAUUAUCAGAAUAAAUGGCGAGUUGGAGCCAAAAGUGACGGUGUGUGGACAUCAUUAAUAACACAACGCAAAGAGAGAGUACACAACUGCGACACUGGUGCCGUGACCCGUUCUUCUCCUUGGUGUUGCUGCGGACUCGACGUCAAGACCGGAGUUUCGUCUGCUCCGCCUGUUGCGCAAUCGGCUUUCCACGGUGCAGUGAGUCGCAAAUGUGAUUGGAAAUCUGAUGCUGUUACUUUCUAUGGACUAUAUUUUGUGAUUAGCGGAUUUGAGUGACCUAAAAGAAAAUAACUUUACAUGUAGUGCUGUUAAUGGGAUUCACUGUGUACAUGUUAUUGGUUUAUUGCUAAUUUUAUAAUUGUGAAAUGUGGAGGUAAAAAAAAAAAAAAAAAAAUAUUCUGCUAGGAUUUUAUUUUUUUUCUUCCUCUUCUGUGAGUCGAAGCAGUUUGUGUGUGGUUUGGGCAUUAUAUAUAUAUAUAUAUUUUUUUUUUUUUUUUUUUUCCUGUAUGGAGGACAAAGUGUAAAAAAAAAAAAAAAUCCCUGGAUAGGCAUAGUGUUAAGUUUUGUUUUUUUCACUGAAAAUGGAUGGGCCUAAUAUGUCGGGUAUUGGCAGGGGUACGAGUAUGUGGUUUAGUCCACUUUCAAAUGUGGACCGUGGACGAACUAGGGAAAAACCUUUGACAUCUACCCCUCAUAUUGCUAAGCAUCUUUGAGAAGCUUUGCCGCUGUGAGACUGACUGUGGGAGAUCUAACAUCAUCUCUGUAUUAUCAGAAUAAAUGGCGAGUUGGAGCCAAAAGUGA
Sebastes umbrosus (honeycomb rockfish) is the source of this 1243-nucleotide long non-coding RNA. RefSeq lists it as uncharacterized. Lineage: Eukaryota; Metazoa; Chordata; Actinopteri; Perciformes; Sebastidae. The transcript is spliced from 3 exons. The record is from RefSeq and is a predicted model, not a curated record.